GAUGAACGCUGGCGGCGUGCCUAAUACAUGCAAGUCGAGCGAACAGACGAGGAGCUUGCUCCUUUGACGUUAGCGGCGGACGGGUGAGUAACACGUAGGUAACCUACCUAUAAGACUGGGAUAACUUCGGGAAACCGGAGCUAAUACCGGAUAAUAUUUCGAACCGCAUGGUUCGAUAGUGAAAGAUGGCUUUGCUAUCACUUAUAGAUGGACCUGCGCCGUAUUAGCUAGUUGGUAAGGUAACGGCUUACCAAGGCAACGAUACGUAGCCGACCUGAGAGGGUGAUCGGCCACACUGGAACUGAGACACGGUCCAGACUCCUACGGGAGGCAGCAGUAGGGAAUCUUCCGCAAUGGGCGAAAGCCUGACGGAGCAAAGCCGCGUGAGUGAUGAAGGUCUUCGGAUCGUAAAACUCUGUUAUUAGGGAAGAACAAACGUGUAAGGAACUGUGCACGUCUUGACGGUACCUAAUCAGAAAGCCACGGCUAACUACGUG
Molecule: ribosomal RNA, 497 nt
Filed under: uncultured bacterium
Lineage: Bacteria
Description: partial 16S ribosomal RNA
Rfam family: Bacterial small subunit ribosomal RNA
Source: RNAcentral